Molecule: long non-coding RNA, 981 nt
Filed under: Rattus norvegicus (Norway rat)
Lineage: Eukaryota; Metazoa; Chordata; Mammalia; Rodentia; Muridae
Description: long non-coding RNA NONRATT021556
Source: RNAcentral
CAUCUCUGGGCUUCCAUUCCCUGCCUGGAAGCAAAGGACCAAACCGGGAUUCCCACCAAGCCUCUGGCUCCUUUCCGCCUGCUUCACUUAGAUGUGCACAUUCCAAGCAUAUCUCUAAGGUGGAUUCUGGGCUAGAAAGUGCAUCGGGCCCUUCUGGAAAUGGCCACUUAGCCUACUAAAGGACCUUGCCCUUCUGUAUGGACUCCCCCCUAUUCUGACAAACCUUGACUUGUGUCAAACACUUCAUGGCUGUGGAGGAGGCAGUAUGGACGACUGAGCUGAGCAUAGGGGAUCACAUCACGCCAUUCCUCACUGCUGCAGACUCGGGGCUUCUUGCUGCUGGUUCCUGACUCCAUCUCGUCACACGUAAGCCAGAGAGGGAGAGAGAGCUCUACCUAAGGAGGCAGGGUCUGGGUGGGGUUGAAUAGGGUGACUCCUGGUCCAAAGGACCCACAGAAAGGAGAUGAUAUUCUGAUCUUUACACAGCCCUCAUCUAUCCACACUAGCAUAGGAGCCCCGGUUUGUGACCCUGGAACCUGACUUAGGAGGAGGUCAGGCUGAAGGUCAGCAUGUAUGUGUGCAGUACAAGGCUGGCACAGGGCAGCAAGGACAAGGUCACAGGCUGCCUGCCAGCAUCUUAAGGCAGGUGUCACUGAAGCAAGAUGGGCCAAGCAUGGGCAUUGGUACCACGGUCUCCAGGCAUUGAUCAGAGACUACAUCUGUCUGGAGCUUCUUUUGAAAAGUCCAUUCCCAGCCUUCUCUGUGCCCACUUGUCCUGGAACAAAUCCUUAUGCAUUUAUCUUGGGACCAAAACCACCCUCACCCAGGCCUGCCUGCUCCGGAAGUCCAGCAGGCCAGGGGUUCUUCCAGCUCGCCCUCUGUGCCGCUGCCCCCGUGGCCUCAUUACCCCUCAUAGGUAUGUUUUGUGUAUGGAGUGAUUUCUGUCGCACUCCUAAAUACAAGCCCGGAAAAGGGCAGCUC